AUUGAACGCUGGCGGCAGGCUUAACGCAUGCAAGUCGAGCGGAGUGAUGGUGCUUGCACUAUCACUUAGCGGCGGACGGGUGAGUAAUGCUUAGGAAUCUGCCUAUUAGUGGGGGACAACAUCUCGAAAGGGAUGCUAAUACCGCAUACGUCCUACGGGAGAAAGCAGGGGAUCACUUGUGACCUUGCGCUAAUAGAUGAGCCUAAGUCGGAUUAGCUAGUUGGUGGGGUAAAGGCCUACCAAGGCGACGAUCUGUAGCGGGUCUGAGAGGAUGAUCCGCCACACUGGGACUGAGACACGGCCCAGACUCCUACGGGAGGCAGCAGUGGGGAAUAUUGGACAAUGGGGGGAACCCUGAUCCAGCCAUGCCGCGUGUGUGAAGAAGGCCUUAUGGUUGAAAAGCACUUUAAGCGAGGAGGAGGCUCUUUUGGUUAAUACCCAAGAUGAGUGGACGUUACUCGCAGAAUAAGCACCGGCUAACUCUGUGCCAGCCGCCGCCGUAA
Molecule: ribosomal RNA, 503 nt
Filed under: uncultured bacterium
Lineage: Bacteria
Description: partial 16S ribosomal RNA
Rfam family: Bacterial small subunit ribosomal RNA
Source: RNAcentral